UUUCCGUAGGUGAACCUGCGGAAGGAUCAUUAAAAAUGAAGCCGGGAAACCGGUCCUUCUAACCCUUGAUUAUCUUAAUUUGUUGCUUUGGUGGGCCGCGCAAGCACCGGCUUUGGCUGGAUCGUGCCCGCCAGAGGACACAACUCUGUAUCAAAUGUCGUCUGAGUACUAUAAAAUAGUUAAAACUUUCAACAACGGAUCUCUUGGUUCUG
Molecule: unclassified non-coding RNA, 212 nt
Filed under: plant metagenome
Description: partial contains small subunit ribosomal RNA, internal transcribed spacer 1, and 5.8S ribosomal RNA
Source: RNAcentral